GGGUGGCAGCUCAGUGCCUUGCCCCUGCCUCCUUCCUUGGACUCCAGCACCUGCCGGAGCACAGAGCUUCAGAAACUCCACAUUCAUCUGGUAGGAGACUCCGGGAAACGAGCAACAGAACCCCAGUGUGUUCCCGAGACUCAGCCAGAUGCACACCUCGCUCGAAAUACACAAGAAUUUGAAAGAUGAGGCGCUGGAUCUGAGCGUGUGAGAUAGAGGAAGUCUUCUCUUAACUCCUGCUAUUCUGCCAGGUUCCUGAGUCCGAGGCCCCUUCCCUGCUACCCUGCGCACCCACCAGCCUGGAAGGGUAAGGGUGCCGUGUGACUGUUGAGCACUUGUGAUUGGACCAUCUGGUGCCCCCAGCAAUGCCA
Long non-coding RNA from Ochotona princeps (American pika), 371 nucleotides. RefSeq lists it as uncharacterized. The transcript is spliced from 3 exons. The record is from RefSeq and is a predicted model, not a curated record. NCBI's taxonomy places the organism in Eukaryota, Metazoa, Chordata, Mammalia, Lagomorpha, Ochotonidae.